AGGCCAUGGUGCGGACAGGCUCUCAAAAGUUCUUUAUAUCUUUCCUAGGCAUCAAAAAGUGAUUCGCCUUGGUUUUGAGUGAAACUAGUGAUCAAGUUCCUAAGGAC
This is a small nucleolar RNA of Vicia villosa (hairy vetch), 107 nucleotides long. Lineage: Eukaryota; Viridiplantae; Streptophyta; Magnoliopsida; Fabales; Fabaceae. The record is from RefSeq and is a predicted model, not a curated record.